RNAcentral lists this ribosomal RNA (491 nucleotides) under uncultured bacterium. Its description in RNAcentral is "partial 16S ribosomal RNA". It matches the Rfam family "Bacterial small subunit ribosomal RNA", at positions 29 to 506 of the family's 1533-position model. The record is from RNAcentral.
AGUGAACGCUGGCGGUAGGCCUAACACAUGCAAGUCGAACGGCAGCACAGUAAGAGCUUGCUCUUACGGGUGGCGAGUGGCGGACGGGUGAGGAAUACAUCGGAAUCUACUUUUUCGUGGGGGAUAACGUAGGGAAACUUACGCUAAUACCGCAUACGACCUACGGGUGAAAGCAGGGGAUCUUCGGACCUUGCGCGAUUGAAUGAGCCGAUGUCGGAUUAGCUAGUUGGCGUGGUAAAGGCCCACCAAGGCGACGAUCCGUAGCUGGUCUGAGAGGAUGAUCGGCCAAACAGGAAUAGAGAGAGGGGCAAGAAGCCUAGGGGCGGCAGCAUGAGGGAAGAUUCGGCAAUGGGCGAAAGCCUGACGGAGCAACGCGGGGUGAGUGAUGAAGGUCUUCGGUUCGUAAAACUCUGUGAGUAGGGAAGAACAAAGGUGUAAGUAACCAUGCACGUCGUGACGGUACCAAAGAAGAAAGCCACGGCUAACUACGU